CCGGUAAUGGUGUAACGGCUAAACAUUACCGCCUUUCACGCGGUAGCUCGGGGUUUCGAUUCCCCGUACCGGC
Molecule: transfer RNA, 73 nt
Filed under: Ephemerocybe angulata
Lineage: Eukaryota; Fungi; Basidiomycota; Agaricomycetes; Agaricales; Psathyrellaceae
Description: Coprinellus angulatus tRNA
Source: Rfam by way of RNAcentral